UACGUAGGGUGCAAGCGUUAAUCGGAAUUACUGGGCGUAAAGCGUGCGCAGGCGGUUUUGUAAGUCUGUCGUGAAAUCCCCCGGGCUCAACCUGGGAAUUGCGAUGGAGACUGCAAGGCUAGAAUCUGGCAGAGGGGGGUAGAAUUCCACGUGUAGCAGUGAAAUGCGUAGAGAUGUGGAGGAACACCGAUGGCGAAGGCAGCCCCCCUGGGUCAAGAUUGACGCUCAUGCACGAAAGCGUGGGGAGCGAACAGG
RNAcentral lists this ribosomal RNA (255 nucleotides) under uncultured bacterium. Its description in RNAcentral is "partial 16S ribosomal RNA". It matches the Rfam family "Bacterial small subunit ribosomal RNA", at positions 524 to 776 of the family's 1533-position model. The record is from RNAcentral.